This 380-nucleotide long non-coding RNA is filed under the name Calidris pugnax (ruff). RNAcentral's name for it is "lncRNA (ENSCPUG00000001167.1)". The record is from RNAcentral. Lineage: Eukaryota; Metazoa; Chordata; Aves; Charadriiformes; Scolopacidae.
AUGGAAACCAGAACGUGGAUUUUCCUCCAAAUUUUAUAAGCUUCUAGAAACCCCAAUGAUGAGAAACAAAUGCGAAAAGUUCACAAAAGCAGUGGUUGCUUAAGAGAAAAAAUUCUUAAAGCCCUAUUGCUUUUAUGAUGAACAGACCUGGCGUGAAGGAUAUUAAUUAUCUUGUAUACCAUUCUUUAAACAGGAAGCUCUUCUGGGAAUAAUCUCAGAUUUGAUGAAUUGUCAGUUGUGACCAUCUCUCUUCUUCUCUAUGAAAGCCCUGUUCUCACUCUCAACUCUAAACGACAGCUUCCAAUACUUUCCAGAAGUCUACGGAGGAAAUUAAGGCACAAAUUUCCCUGUAGCCAGAGGACCCACCCACUGUGCCGGCU